UGGGGAAUAUUGGACAAUGGGGGCAACCCUGAUCCAGCAAUGCCGCGUGUGUGAAGAAGGUCUUCGGAUUGUAAAGCACUUUCGACGGGGACGAUGAUGACGGUACCCGUAGAAGAAGCCCCGGCUAACUUCGUGCCGGCAGCCGCGGUAAUACGAAGGGGGCUAGCGUUGCUCGGAAUGACUGGGCGUAAAGGGCGUGUAGGCGGUUUACACAGUCAGAUGUGAAAUCCCCGGGCUUAACCUGGGAGCUGCAUUUGAUACGUGUAGACUAGAGUGUGAGAGAGGGUUGUGGAAUUCCCAGUGUAGAGGUGAAAUUCGUAGAUAUUGGGAAGAAC
Molecule: ribosomal RNA, 335 nt
Filed under: uncultured bacterium
Lineage: Bacteria
Description: partial 16S ribosomal RNA
Rfam family: Bacterial small subunit ribosomal RNA
Source: RNAcentral